AUGCUGCCCCCAUUUCUGGGGGUGGGACUCCUCCCCCUCCUGGAGGUCCCGGUAUUCCUUGGGGUUUUACCUGCCCUAGAGGAGGAAGAAGAAGAAAAAACCAUGGCAACUGGAGACAAGGGGCCAGGUCGGGGGGAGGGGGUAGACGGUGCUGACAGCAGUGAGCCGCCCCCAAUCGCUGAAACUCCCCACGGCCCCCUGAGCACCCACAACAUUCGCUCCUCCACUUGA
This 231-nucleotide long non-coding RNA is filed under the name Homo sapiens (human). RNAcentral's name for it is "non-protein coding lnc-MED27-1:1". The record is from RNAcentral. Lineage: Eukaryota; Metazoa; Chordata; Mammalia; Primates; Hominidae.